AGACUAACUGGCAUCAGACCAUGGCUGUGAAGGUGAUCUUCCAGGGCAAGCCUUACCCAUUACGCACAAGAUGUGCUGACCCCUAAGAUAUCCCCAAAUGGGGGAAACUGGCUUGCAUGCUGUAUGGUAGUGGGGGAUGGUAUUUGCACUCUUCUCCA
This is a small nuclear RNA of Cricetulus griseus (Chinese hamster), 158 nucleotides long. Its record names the gene U1. It matches the Rfam family "U1 spliceosomal RNA". From Rfam's summary of the family: U1 is a small nuclear RNA (snRNA) component of the spliceosome (involved in pre-mRNA splicing). Its 5' end forms complementary base pairs with the 5' splice junction, thus defining the 5' donor site of an intron. NCBI's taxonomy places the organism in Eukaryota, Metazoa, Chordata, Mammalia, Rodentia, Cricetidae. The record is from Ensembl.